Molecule: non-coding RNA, 29 nt
Filed under: Cricetulus griseus (Chinese hamster)
Lineage: Eukaryota; Metazoa; Chordata; Mammalia; Rodentia; Cricetidae
Source: RNAcentral
AGACGUAAGGACAGACAGUAAACGGAGGA